AUUUAAGCAUAUAAUUAAGCGGAGGAAAAGAAACUAACUAGGAUUCCCUCAGUAAGGGCGACUGAAGCGGGAAUAGCUCAUCUUGUGAAUCUGCGCUCUGCGCCGAAUUGUGGUCUAGAGACUCUUGCAUUACUGGCCGGGCCAAGUCCUCUGGAAUGGGGCAGCUGAGAGGGUGACACUCCCGUCCGCCUGGCCUUUUGAGCAAGUGUCAACGAGUCGAGUUGUUUGGGAUUGCAGCUCAAAGCGGGUGGUAAAUUCCAUCUAAGGCUAAAUAUUGGUGGGAGACCGAUAGCGUACAAGUACCGUGAGGGAAAGAUGCAAAGAACUUUGAAAAGAGAGUUAAAGAGUACCUGAAAUUGCUGAAACGGAAGCGAAGGAAACCAGUGUCAGCUGCGUCAUACUUCCCCGCUCGCUUGCGGUCGGGGCGCUGUGACCAGCAUUGUCAGGCUUGGCUGGAUUGGCCGGAACCGCGUACAGGGAGUUGACCUGUGCAUGUCGCGGUUGAUCCGACUGAGGUUGACGAAAUGGUUUUCUUUACCCCGUCUUGAAACACGGACCAAGGAGUUUAACAUAUGUGCGAGUACAGGGGUGUCAAACCCCGGUGCGCAAUGAAAGUAACAGUGGCUGGAAAUCUGCACAGUCCGCCGGCCAUAAUCCCUCGGGAGAACGGUCUGAGUGUGAGCAUACAUGUUGAGACCCGAAAGAUGGUGAACUAUGCCUGAAUAGGGUGAAGCCAGGGGAAACUCUGGUGGAGGCUCGUAGCGAUUCUGACGUGCAAAUCGAUCGUCAAAUUUGGGUAUAGGGGCGAAAGACUAAUCGAACUAUCUAGUAGCUGGUUCCCUCCGAAAUUUCCCUCAGGAUAGCUGUGAUCGAUUCAAUUUUAUCAGGUAAAGCGAAUGAUUAGAGC
RNAcentral lists this ribosomal RNA (907 nucleotides) under Achnanthes arctica. Its description in RNAcentral is "eukaryotic LSU rRNA". It matches the Rfam family "Eukaryotic large subunit ribosomal RNA", at positions 32 to 1027 of the family's 3401-position model. RNAcentral also lists the same sequence under 1 other name. Lineage: Eukaryota; Bacillariophyta; Bacillariophyceae; Mastogloiales; Achnanthaceae. The record is from RNAcentral.